This is a long non-coding RNA of Prunus dulcis (almond), 475 nucleotides long. RefSeq lists it as uncharacterized. The transcript is spliced from 2 exons. NCBI's taxonomy places the organism in Eukaryota, Viridiplantae, Streptophyta, Magnoliopsida, Rosales, Rosaceae. The record is from RefSeq and is a predicted model, not a curated record.
GCACUAAUUUGUACACGAGACUGGAUAUUUAUUUGUUUCUUUUUAUCAUCAUCUAAAGUCUUAUUUGGGCAGUUAGCUAUAACUAUUGUUUUAUUUGGCUUGUAUAUUUUCAUGUUUACAGGACUUCCCAACCCAUUGAACAUGAAACUUCACUGCAAUCAAUGGUACCAUGAUAUGAAGAGUCCUAAUUUACACGACUUCUAUAUCUUCUACAUGGGAAAGGGACUUACUCUUCUUGGGCUUCUUAAUUUCAAAUUGGUUUUGAUUAUGUUUUUCAGUUAGGUAUUGUUUUGAUUUUGAUUUUGGAUUUGCAGGUAUUCCAACUAGCGGCCCAUCCACCCUUCCCAGCAUCUGAUAAGGGUUGGGGUAAAGAAUUAGGCCAAGUACAAUCCUAAUAUACUAUUUUGGAGUCUAUUUAUUUGGCUACUUGAAUUUGUAAUAUUUUCAUUGUAUCUGGAGAUUGUAUUUUUUUUUU